Molecule: long non-coding RNA, 207 nt
Filed under: Vigna radiata
Lineage: Eukaryota; Viridiplantae; Streptophyta; Magnoliopsida; Fabales; Fabaceae
Description: long non-coding RNA (VRAD_LNC006621)
Source: RNAcentral
GCAAGAAGAAGGAGCUGCCCGGAGAAAGUGAUCAAAGCUGACCGAAGAGAAAAUGAUCAGAGGGCUUGUGAUCAACGCAAACAGAGACCGUUGGAUUGAGGCGAAGAGCGAAGCGUCAAGGUUUUCUCCUUUUAUUUUUUCCUUUUUCCCUUACCUCUGUUCUUCACCCUAUAAAAGAGGGUUUUGUAAAUAACAAUGAGUGUGAAG